AAACUAUAUACUUUAUCAAUUUAUCCACAAACUAACUAUUAUCAUAUCCAAACAAAUUCACAUAUUUAUAAUAACUAAUUUCUAUAUACAUUUUUAUUUAUUUUUAUUUUACCUUAUUUUAAUAUCUACUCCAAAACAAUUUAUUUCUUAAACUACCAACUCCAAUUCAUUUAAAACUAUAAAAUAUAUUCAAUAAUUCCUAAAUCA
RNAcentral lists this unclassified non-coding RNA (207 nucleotides) under Hevea brasiliensis (rubber tree). Lineage: Eukaryota; Viridiplantae; Streptophyta; Magnoliopsida; Malpighiales; Euphorbiaceae. The record is from RNAcentral.